This is a long non-coding RNA of Alnus glutinosa, 618 nucleotides long. RefSeq lists it as uncharacterized. Lineage: Eukaryota; Viridiplantae; Streptophyta; Magnoliopsida; Fagales; Betulaceae. The record is from RefSeq and is a predicted model, not a curated record. The transcript has 3 exons.
UGUAUGGUCAUGGCUAACACUUUUCUUGUAGAGCAAACCGUUUAUGUUCUUUUAUUAAUUAAUUAAUUUUCUAAGGUUCAAUCUGGAAGGUUGAGCUUUUCAGAAUUGAAAUUAUGUAAGGUGAACAAUUUGUUAGAAUGAUAGAAGAUGUAUAGGGCACAAGUAAAUGUCUACAACAAGUGAUUUGUCAAGCGGUCAUCCGUUAUGUAAGUGUGGAAUUCCUGCACGUCUAAGGUACUCUUGGACCACAUCCAAUCCCGCUAAAAAGUGGUAUGGAUGUAAUAACUACAAGAAAGCCGAUGAUUGUGAUUUUUUUGAAUGGGCUGAUAAGAAGAUGUCUGCAUACGAGAAGGGAUUAGCGCAAUAUCUGAAGGAGACGGAGGAGAGAAGACAGGCUGACAAUGACAAAGUUGAGGAAUUAAUUGAAAAAAAAAUGCAAGGAACAAUUAGCGCAACAUUUGAAAGAAAUGGAGGAGAAAGUUGAGGAAUUGAUUGAAAAAAAAUGUAAUGAACAAUUAGCGCAACGUAACGAGAAGAUGAUUCGUGUUUUGUUGUUAGUUGUCAUUUUGCUGUUAGCCUUUUAUUUUUGUAGUUAUAGUGAACCUAGACCUACCAACU